RNAcentral lists this long non-coding RNA (968 nucleotides) under Homo sapiens (human). RNAcentral describes it as "long intergenic non-protein coding RNA 2298". The record is from RNAcentral. Lineage: Eukaryota; Metazoa; Chordata; Mammalia; Primates; Hominidae.
GAGUAGCUGGGACUACAGGCGUGCACCACCAUGCCCAGCUAAUUUUUGUAUUUUUAGUAGAGGCGGGGUUUCGCCAUGUUGGCCAGGCUGGUCUCGAAUUCCUGGCUGGGAUUACAGGCGUGAGCCACCACGCCCUGCUGGAUUUUGGAUUCUUGAUACGUAUCAUCAACCACUCUCCAGAGUUUGGCCAGCUUCACGCUCCAUCAGUGGUCUCACCAUAGACCUUCUAAUCUUGAUUGUGUUGGCUGGUGUCUAUUUUCUAAUGGUGUUUGGUUUUGGAACCUGCAUUUCUUUGAAAAAGAGUGAGCAUGUGCAUUUUCCCAGAUGCCUGGUAUCCAACUGCACUUCUCCAUGUGUGCAUUGUCCCCUGAGCUGGCAAGAAGAUCCUACUAGUUGGUCUGCAUGCCAUGCCAGCUCGGCCUUGCACCCUGGGGGCCCAGGUAACUAGCUCUCACCAACAGAAAGAGAUGUGAUGGACAUCACCUGAGGCCAGACCCUAAGACCUCUGUGUGCCCCCUCCGUGUCUCCUGUCUGCAGCUGUUGUCCACACCAAGGGUGGCCUACAGAGGGAAGUGAGGACCUUGGGACUUCCUCCAGGACAGCCCUCGCUGUCCAAAUCUCCACCUGCUGCAGAGCUGCCUCCAGUCAAGCCCUUGUUUCCAGCUUUCUGUGCCCUAAAUAAACUUCUGCUGGGAUUGAGCCAUCAGCAUUCUGUGGUGGGCGUCGCUGCUGCGAGGUUGCCCUCGUGCACACAAGCUCCUCACAGGACUUCCAGGAUGAUAUGGAAGAGUGACUGAGAGCAGCCGCCCGGUGCUUCCCAACCUUAGAGGGAGGUCACGGGCAGUCUCCCUGCGAUGCUGGCCACAGGUGUGAGGAAGACAGUCCUUAUAGGAAAAUGCCCUCUCGUUCUUAUUCUCUACUUUAAAAAAUCUUUAAAUCAUGAGUAUAAUAAAUGUUAUCAAAUGCCA